UUCUAUAACUAAGUAAAUCUAAAAUUCUAAUUACUCAAUAUUUCUAACGCCAGAAAACCUAAUUAAGAACUAAUGACAAUUAGUUAUCAUAACAUUCAUAAAAAUUCUAUUUUAACUAAAUCAAAACCUUAACCUAGUUAAAUUCUAAUUAUACUAUUAAGAAGUGAAGGUGUUAAUUCGGUCUUGGAAAUGAAGAGCGACGCGUGCAAGUGAUCACUUGGUCGGCAGCUUUUGAACGGAACGCGUUGUUGAAGCGAGUUGUUGUGCGAGAAUGAGAGUUGAAGGUUGCUCCAAGGGUUGCCGAGCCGUCGCGAAUUGUGAGCGUGAAGAGGAUGAAUCCGCUUUCCGCCGUUGUUGGUGCUCGAUGACGGUGAGGGAUGAGGAAUGAAGACUCGAGUUCGUGCUUGGCCAAUUGAGACGACAACGCUUCUUGAACCGCUUAGGAAUGGAAGGAAUUGAUUGCUGUGUAUGAGUUUGAAGGUUGAGGGCGGAGAGAAGAUGGAAAUGAGGUUGAAGGUGGAGGAGAAGGAAGUGAAGAAAAAAAGAAAAAGGUUGAAGAAGCGUGAAUGUGGUGAGAGGAUCCAACCAUUUGAGAGAGAUUGAGGUUUUGUCUCUGAUACUUGGAGGAAGAAAAGAUAUAUUGAGUUCCAUCAGUUAUGGUUCUGACUUUUGUUGAAGUUCUAUUGCAGGUUUGAGUUGGUUAUAGUUAUGAAGCUGCAAAAUUCAGUUGGUUAGUUAACUGUUGGAUCUGGUUUUCUGCAGGUUUCGCAUUGCCGGUGUUGCUGUUGGAUGUGGAAGGCCGUUGUUGUUGCUUGUACAUCAGCUUAUGGUUUUUAUCUUGUGUAGUCGUUGCUGUUGUAGUUGUUGCGGGAUUGAGUUUUGCCGGCGGUUCUAUGUAGCUUGUACGGUUUGGUGUAUCAAGUUGUCGAUUUCUAAUGCAGCUGGUGUUGUUGUCGUUUAGCAGCCGUUGCGUUUGCGCGUCAUUUGCUUUGAGAUGCUUCGCAGCUAGUUGCCAUUCGCAGCGUGCGAACUUGCCACAACAUGUCGUUUGCGUUUCACCUUUUUUACCCUGUGCUUGGAUCGUCGUUUUGUGCGUAACAUUUGGUAGCUUUUGAGCACAUGCGUUUUUGUACGUUGCAGCUGAUGUGAACUGGUUUGCUCGUAGCUUUCAAUUCCAAUUGCUUUGGCUUUAUAUGUUAAAUGGACAAUUGUUAGAAAUGAAUUUAAAUUUUCUUAGCGGA
Molecule: long non-coding RNA, 1241 nt
Organism: Lathyrus oleraceus (garden pea)
Lineage: Eukaryota; Viridiplantae; Streptophyta; Magnoliopsida; Fabales; Fabaceae
Exons: 4
Source: RefSeq, a predicted model, not a curated record